GGGGUUGUGGCUCAGUGGUAGAGCGCUUGCCUAGCAUGUGCAAGGCACUGGGUUCAAUUCUCAGCAACACAU
This 72-nucleotide transfer RNA is filed under the name Urocitellus parryii (Arctic ground squirrel). Its description in RNAcentral is "Spermophilus parryii (Arctic ground squirrel) tRNA". It matches the Rfam family "tRNA". From Rfam's summary of the family: Transfer RNA (tRNA) molecules are approximately 80 nucleotides in length. Their secondary structure includes four short double-helical elements and three loops (D, anti-codon, and T loops). RNAcentral also lists the same sequence under 1 other name. The record is from Rfam by way of RNAcentral. Lineage: Eukaryota; Metazoa; Chordata; Mammalia; Rodentia; Sciuridae.